AUCCUUUUGUAGGUCAUAAUUGCGAUGAUUGGGUUGUUGUGCUCAAGCAUGAGAUGUGCCUCCCUCAAACCUUGUUACAACGUUGGCACAUUACCCGUCUGACA
Molecule: small nucleolar RNA, 104 nt
Organism: Macaca fascicularis (crab-eating macaque)
Lineage: Eukaryota; Metazoa; Chordata; Mammalia; Primates; Cercopithecidae
Source: Ensembl